Molecule: unclassified non-coding RNA, 418 nt
Filed under: rhizosphere metagenome
Description: partial ribosomal RNA internal transcribed spacer region
Source: RNAcentral
GUAGGUGAACCUGCGGAAGGAUCAUUAAAGAAAUUUAAUAAUUUUGAAAAUGGAUUUUUUUGUUUUGGCAAGAGCAUGAGAGCUUUUACUGGGCAAGAAGACAAGAGAUGGAGAGUCCAGCCGGGCCUGCGCUUAAGUGCGCGGUCUUGCUAGGCUUGUAAGUUUCUUUCUUGCUAUUCCAAACGGUGAGAGAUUUCUGUGCUUUUGUUAUAGGACAAUUAAAACCGUUUCAAUACAACACACUGUGGAGUUUUCAUAUCUUUGCAACUUUUUCUUUGGGCAUUCGAGCAAUCGGGGCCCAGAGGUAACAAACACAAACAAUUUUAUCUAUUCAUUAAAUUUUUGUCAAAAACAAGAAUUUUCGUAACUGGAAAUUUUAAAAUAUUAAAAACUUUCAACAACGGAUCUCUUGGUUCUC